RNAcentral lists this ribosomal RNA (460 nucleotides) under uncultured bacterium. RNAcentral describes it as "partial 16S ribosomal RNA". It matches the Rfam family "Bacterial small subunit ribosomal RNA", at positions 338 to 795 of the family's 1533-position model. The record is from RNAcentral.
CCUACGGGUGGCAGCAGUGAGGAAUAUUGGUCAAUGGGCGUAAGCCUGAACCAGCCAAGUCGCGUGAGGGAUGAAGGCUCUAUGGAUCGUAAACCUCUUUUAUAAGGGCAUAAAGUGUGGGACGUGUCCUGUUUUGUAUGUACCUUAUGAAUAAGGAUCGGCUAACUCCGUGCCAGCAGCCGCGGUAAUACGGAGGAUCCGAGCGUUAUCCGGAUUUAUUGGGUUUAAAGGUUGCGUAGGCGGCCUUGUAAGUCAGCGGUGAAAGUCCGUGGCUCAACCAUAGUAUUGCCGUUGAAACUGGGAGUCUUGAGUAUGUGUGAGGCAGGCGGAAUGCGGGGUGUAGCGGUGAAAUGCGUAGAUAUCACGCAGAACCCCGAUGGCGAAGGCGGACUGCCAAGCAAUGACUGACGCUGAUGCACGAAAGCGUGGGGAUCAAACAGGAUUAGAUACCCGAGUAGUC